Molecule: ribosomal RNA, 253 nt
Filed under: uncultured bacterium
Lineage: Bacteria
Description: partial 16S ribosomal RNA
Rfam family: Bacterial small subunit ribosomal RNA
Source: RNAcentral
UACGGGGGGGGCAAGCGUUGUUCGGAAUUACUGGGCGUAAAGGGCUCGUAGGCGGCCAACUAAGUCAGACGUGAAAUCCCCCGGCUUAACCAGGGAUCUGCGUCUGAUACUGGAUGGCUUGAGUUUGGGAGAGGGAUGCGGAAUUCCAGGUGUAGCGGUGAAAUGCGUAGAUAUCUGGAGGAACACCGGUGGCGAAGGCGGCAUUCUGGACCAUUACUGACGCUGAGGAGCGAAAGCCAGGGGAGCAAACGGG